Molecule: ribosomal RNA, 440 nt
Filed under: uncultured bacterium
Lineage: Bacteria
Description: partial 16S ribosomal RNA
Rfam family: Bacterial small subunit ribosomal RNA
Source: RNAcentral
CCUACGGGAGGCAGCAGUGGGGAAUAUUGCACAAUGGGGGGAACCUUGAUGCAGCAACGCCGCGUGGGUGAAGAAGUACUCCGGUAUGUAAAGCCCUGUCAGCAGGGAAGAAAAUGACGGUACCUGACCAAGAAGCCCCGGCUAACUACGUGCCAGCAGCCGCGGUAAUACGUAGGGGGCAAGCGUUAUCCGGAUUUACUGGGUGUAAAGGGAGCGUAGACGGGAAGGCAAGUCUGGAGUGAAAGCCCGUGGCGCAACCACUGGACUGCUUUGGAAACUGUGUUGCUGGAGUGCAGGAGGGGUAAGCGGAAUUCCUAGUGUAGCGGUGAAAUGCGUAGAUAUUAGGAGGAACACCGGUGGCGAAGGCGGCUUACUGGACUGUAACUGACGUUGAGGCUCGAAGGCGUGGGGAGCAAACAGGAUUAGAUACCCCUGUAGUC